CGACCUCAAUUUGCUGUGGGCAAAUAAAGUGAAUGUGGCUAUCAAUCCCACCUGCAGUGAGAAUCAUGCCUUCCCCCGCGAUCGCCUCCGUGCCAGGACCGAUGAUGAUAUUCACGUUGUCCUGAAUGUAGGGAUUGCCUGCUUUGCCAAUAGCGUGAAUUUUGCCAUCUUUAAUCCCCACAUCGGCUUUGACGAUACCCCACCAAUCCAGAAUCAGUGCAUUGGUAAUUACUGCAUCCACUGCACCAUCAGCAUUGGUGAUUGGAGAUUGCCCCAUGCCAUCG
This 284-nucleotide small RNA is filed under the name Leptolyngbyaceae cyanobacterium JSC-12. RNAcentral's name for it is "Oscillatoriales cyanobacterium JSC-12 5' ureB small RNA". It matches the Rfam family "5' ureB small RNA". Lineage: Bacteria; Bacillati; Cyanobacteriota; Cyanophyceae; Leptolyngbyales; Leptolyngbyaceae. The record is from Rfam by way of RNAcentral.